CCGAAGCGUUUCAGAGUGGUUACACCAUCUCAGAGAUCCCUCACCUUAACGGAACCCAUGCCUAUAUUAUCAAGGUCCCUUUCGAAGACCGCAUUGUCCCUAGGAUGUACCUGGGAGAAGGAUUGCUGCAGUACUCACUGGACAUAAAUUACACUCUGAACAUCAUUCCCCAGCAAGAACCUUACUAUCACCUUGCUUCUGUUGUGGCUCUCAUUAAGGAUGCCUUUCCACCAGACUUCACAGCAGUCUGCACAGAAAGGAGCAUAAUCUUCAAGGUGGCUCAUCAAAA
Long non-coding RNA from Anguilla anguilla (European eel), 289 nucleotides. RefSeq lists it as uncharacterized. The record is from RefSeq and is a predicted model, not a curated record. Lineage: Eukaryota; Metazoa; Chordata; Actinopteri; Anguilliformes; Anguillidae. The transcript is spliced from 3 exons.